UAGCCAGAAAGCAGAGAGUCCUACCAGU
RNAcentral lists this non-coding RNA (28 nucleotides) under Rattus norvegicus (Norway rat). The record is from RNAcentral. Lineage: Eukaryota; Metazoa; Chordata; Mammalia; Rodentia; Muridae.